CCGCUGGAUUCCUUCGUUACUAAGAAUAAAAUAAACGAAUCAAAAAACCGACUUCCCCGAUGCACUGACUAUACGUAGACAAAACCGGAAAUCACCCACUAAGUUUUCUAUACGAUCGGAGCGAGAGUUCCGGUUGAAAAAUCGUUUACGGACAGAAUGCAAAAAGCGUAUUGGGAUCUGAAUUCAAGUGUAGAUAGUGCUUAUGU
Cinara cedri is the source of this 206-nucleotide non-coding RNA. The record is from the annotation of a GenBank genome assembly. Lineage: Eukaryota; Metazoa; Arthropoda; Insecta; Hemiptera; Aphididae.